Eucalyptus grandis is the source of this 3323-nucleotide long non-coding RNA. RefSeq lists it as uncharacterized. The record is from RefSeq and is a predicted model, not a curated record. Lineage: Eukaryota; Viridiplantae; Streptophyta; Magnoliopsida; Myrtales; Myrtaceae. The transcript has 2 exons.
UGGCUUUCUGGGACUGGCAUGUUGUGGGCAUCGUUAGGGUCUGUGCUCCUCUGAUCGCUGAUCGAUUCAUCAUCGAUUGAUCUUCACAAGUUCAAUUGCAUUAUGAGCUCAUUCUGGUCAGAGUUUGGUCGAGCCAAUAGUUUACCUCGUCAAUUUUGAUAUGGAGUAUCUGCGAUUGGUAAUGGUUCAUUCUUGUUGCAUAAGCAUUAAUUCAUGGGACAAGUUCUUCUUUCAGAGUUCUUUCAUGUCUGGAAAGGUCCGCACAUGUUCUAGCUCAUUUCUCUCCCCAUUCUUCUGUAGGACUCCUGAUUGCUCUUUCAGCUGCAUACCGUAUGACUUGAUACUUCUGGCUCUCAUUUUCCAGAGUUAUUUUCUCUUAUUAACAAAAAUUUUAGUGUGGGUGAAUAAAAAUGAAAUUUUGAAGUUCCCUUGCCAUUGAUCAACAGCUCUCUGCUAUCUUUCACCAGCUUUAAGAUGAUGGUGAAUUCAAUUUGGUGAAGAUGGUUGUUGAGACUGAGAUUUUAUCCAACUCUGAUCACAAUCCACUGUCAGUAAGUUGGUCAAUGUGGAGACAAAUUGCUUUUUAUAUGGACAUAGUAUCUUUUUGGUUUUUAAUAGCCAUGGAAUUUGAUUUAGAUGGAGAAGAUGUGCUAAUUGCAGGAGUCUUUCGAUUAUUUCAUAGUUAUUCUAAGUAUAUUACUCGCCUUGUGGUUGGAUAGCAUUUGGUGCACUCCCUUGCUGGUAAUUUCACUUGAAACAAGUGGUUGGUCACAAAUGGAUGAGGUUCUUGCCUUCUCGGGGAAUUGCUUCAGUCAGAUAUGAGUUUUUGGUCUAACUCUUUUCUUUGUUAUUCAGUUGGUAUCGCCUUGAUCGCUUAUAACGUAUAUAAGUUUUUCACCUCAUGGAGAUUCUUCAUAAAACCUGUCUUUACACACCACAACAGAUCACUAUCCAGUAUCCAAUCCAGAUCCGCAUCUUAUAAGUUCGAAGGCCAGUGUCUCCUUCCCAGAAAUAGUCCCUCUCGUGUGUCCUCAUCCUUCAGUUUCAUCUUGCAUCGUGUUCCCCUCUCAGUCGACAGCCUCUGCGAAGUUCAGAUGAGACAUUGUUCCCAAAAUGCGCUCUUGAUCCUCUGCUUUUCUUCUUGUUUCUUGGAUUGAUUGUUAAAUUGGUCUGAUUCUGUUUAUGCUAUCUUAUUUUCCGAAGGUUACACCUGGCCUCUCUGGGACUUUCACAUGUUGUGGGCGUUGUUAGAGUUUGCACUCUUCUGGUCGUUGAUAGAUUCAUCAUUGAUUGAUCUUUCCAUUGUAUUAUGAGCUGAUUCUGGUAAAGACUAAUUCCGUGAAUUGGCAGUGGCUUCUUUCUUCCUGGAGCGAUCGUUUUUUUUUUCUCUGAGGAUGUUGUCUGAGGACAAUUAAUACAAUGCAACUGGUCAGUCGGUUACCUAGAAUAUGACAUUUGGGCUUUUUAGAGGACUGAUGAUCUUGCACUCUUUGGUUGAGCUGAUGAUCUUUAGAAGCCUUUUUUCUUCAAGAAAAACGGUGGACUGAAAUUUUGACAACCUUCUAGGCUUCUUUUACAGAUUGAAAGUUUUACUGGAUUUGACAGCUGGUGAUCUGUUGCUUUUUCUGUGGGCUGAGUUGAUAAUCGCUUGAAAUUGGAUGAGCUCUGUUUUCGGAUUUUGGGCAGUUAAUUGGUUUCAAUAAAACUCUUCCUUUACUUCUGUCAUUUCUUAGUUAAUCCGAGAGAUCAGAUCUAGUUCUCUUCCCUUCGCAGAUCAGAGUUUGGUCAAGGCAAUAUUUCAUGUGGCCAAGUUCGACAUGGAGUGUCUACAAUGCAGCAUCAAUUUCUAAUUUGUCUUCCACUUCUGUGAUCUUCGAGUCAAGGUGGUUAUCAUCUAGUUGAGGUGGAACGAUAAGAUGUUUUCUUUCCUUUGUAGGUCAUAGUUUGGUCGAGGCAAUCCUUUAACUCGUCCAUUUCACGAUGGAGUGUCUGUGAUCAGUGAUGGCUCUUUCUUGCUGCAUAAGAAUUAAUUUAUAGGACAAGCUCUUCUGUCAGAGUUCUUUCUUGUCUGGAAAGGUCCAGACAAGUAGUAGCUCGUUUCUCUUCAUUCUUAUCUGUGUGCCACAAUCACUAAUUGGAUCUCUGGUUAUUCAUGAAGAUAUCAUUAAGAUGUAUGCGUUAUGCACUUCUUCCCCAUCGUGGAAAUCGCUCUUGGCAUUACCUACUUUGCUUCGCCUUCCUUUGUACACGACUUCUGUGUUUUUCUUUUGGUACAGAUCAAGAGGUCAUUUCGUGUUCUUUCUGUGCAAGAGAUUGUUCAAGUUGGAUUCAGUCAAUGGCCAUAUAAAUAUCUAAAGAAUUGUAGGUUUUAUUUGGUUAUUGGGACUGUGAAGGCUGUUUGCUGACAGAAUCGGUUUUACUUCAGGGCAUACUGGUAGAAUUUUAUUUUUUGAUGAUGUAUUUCAAAUAACUAUCUGGAUUGUUAUUCUUGAUCUUUCUUAUUUUAAAUCUAUUUUUUAACAGAUGAUGAUAGUUGAUACUAGUUGUUCUUUGUUAUUUUAGAGUGUACUUUCUCUUCAGAAUUGGAUUGGAAACUUUUGAUUUGUAUGUCUUGGAGAAGUGGUGAUCUAUUAUGCAGUUUUUGUUUGCUCGAGUUCUGAAAUAGUCUCUGACCACAUAUUCAGGACAGGCGCUGGACUGGAAUUUUGAAGAUCUCUAGGCAUUUUGUAGUUUUGAUUUAAGUUUGUCUUCAGUUGACUGUCUUCAGGGAGCAGUGAGAUAGAAAUUGUUGAGUUCUCUCUAGAGGCUUAAGUUUUGCCGGGUUUGAGAAGUGGUGAUCUAUUGUGUUCUUCUGUAGGGCUGAGUUGAUGAUUGUUUGAAAUUGGACAAGCAGCUGCUUUGUGGAUUCUAGGCAGUUAUUGGUUUGAAUGAAGUUUGUUUUCCACUUCUGCUUUUUUCCGUUUAUGGUGAGAUGAUUAGGCCUUCCUCAUUUUCCUUGUAUUGCAAGCCUCUUUUGUUUAGGUAUGGGCUGUCUUUAAUCUGUAAUGGUUCUUUUUACAUUUCAAUUAACAAGCUCUUAUUUAUUUGAGCUUCUCUUGCCUUUUGUUGUUUUUGGAAAAUGAAUAGUCAUUCACUAUCUUCCAUUGUAGGGAUUGUUUAUGAAUCUGGAAAGCUUGGGAUCCUCAAAGUUAUGGCUUGUUUCUAUACUUGUAAUGCAUGCUGCAUUAACUAAAGUGAUUGGUGGUAAAUCAUGGAGAUAUUGCAAGUGUAAUUUAUAUGCGAAUGCUAGCUUCAUACAAUUUACUUAGCUUAGGGUUUCAUUC